AGAGUUUGAUCAUGGCUCAGAUUGAACGCUGGCGGCAGGCCUAACACAUGCAAGUCGAGCGGUAGCACAGAGAGCUUGCUCUCGGGUGACGAGCGGCGGACGGGUGAGUAAUGUCUGGGAAACUGCCUGAUGGAGGGGGAUAACUACUGGAAACGGUAGCUAAUACCGCAUAACGUCGCAAGACCAAAGUGGGGGACCUUCGGGCCUCAUGCCAUCAGAUGUGCCCAGAUGGGAUUAGCUAGUAGGUGGGGUAACGGCUCACCUAGGCGACGAUCCCUAGCUGGUCUGAGAGGAUGACCAGCCACACUGGAACUGAGACACGGUCCAGACUCCUACGGGAGGCAGCAGUGGGGAAUAUUGCACAAUGGGCGCAAGCCUGAUGCAGCCAUGCCGCGUGUGUGAAGAAGGCCUUCGGGUUGUAAAGCACUUUCAGCGGGGAGGAAGGCGUUAAGGUUAAUAACCUUGUCGAUUGACGUUACCCGCAGAAGAAGCACCGGCUAACUCCGUGCCAGCAGCCGCGGUAAUACGGAGGGUGCAAGCGUUAAUCGGAAUUACUGGGCGUAAAGCGCACGCAGGCGGUCUGUCAAGUCGGAUGUGAAAUCCCCGGGCUCAACCUGGGAACUGCAUUCGAAACUGGCAGGCUAGAGUCUUGUAGAGGGGGGUAGAAUUCCAGGUGUAGCGGUGAAAUGCGUAGAGAUCUGGAGGAAUACCGGUGGCGAAGGCGGCCCCCUGGACAAAGACUGACGCUCAGGUGCGAAAGCGUGGGGAGCAAACAGGAUUAGAUACCCUGGUAGUCCACGCCGUAAACGAUGUCGAUUUGGAGGUUGUGCCCUUGAGGCGUGGCUUCCGGAGCUAACGCGUUAAAUCGACCGCCUGGGGAGUACGGCCGCAAGGUUAAAACUCAAAUGAAUUGACGGGGGCCCGCACAAGCGGUGGAGCAUGUGGUUUAAUUCGAUGCAACGCGAAGAACCUUACCUGGUCUUGACAUCCACAGAACUUUCCAGAGAUGGAUUGGUGCCUUCGGGAACUGUGAGACAGGUGCUGCAUGGCUGUCGUCAGCUCGUGUUGUGAAAUGUUGGGUUAAGUCCCGCAACGAGCGCAACCCUUAUCCUUUGUUGCCAGCGGUUAGGCCGGGAACUCAAAGGAGACUGCCAGUGAUAAACUGGAGGAAGGUGGGGAUGACGUCAAGUCAUCAUGGCCCUUACGACCAGGGCUACACACGUGCUACAAUGGCAUAUACAAAGAGAAGCGACCUCGCGAGAGCAAGCGGACCUCAUAAAGUAUGUCGUAGUCCGGAUUGGAGUCUGCAACUCGACUCCAUGAAGUCGGAAUCGCUAGUAAUCGUAGAUCAGAAUGCUACGGUGAAUACGUUCCCGGGCCUUGUACACACCGCCCGUCACACCAUGGGAGUGGGUUGCAAAAGAAGUAGGUAGCUUAACCUUCGGGAGGGCGCUUACCACUUUGUGAUUCAUGACUGGGGUGAAGUCGUAACAAGGUAACCGUAGGGGAACCUGCGGUUG
Molecule: ribosomal RNA, 1520 nt
Filed under: Klebsiella pneumoniae
Lineage: Bacteria; Pseudomonadati; Pseudomonadota; Gammaproteobacteria; Enterobacterales; Enterobacteriaceae
Also listed under: 1 other name
Description: bacterial SSU rRNA
Rfam family: Bacterial small subunit ribosomal RNA
Source: RNAcentral